This 2163-nucleotide long non-coding RNA is filed under the name Homo sapiens (human). RNAcentral's name for it is "HSALNT0361286". The record is from RNAcentral. Lineage: Eukaryota; Metazoa; Chordata; Mammalia; Primates; Hominidae.
ACUUCCUAGGCCACGCCACGCCGCUCCACCAGCUCAGGGAACCCCCUUGGCCGUGCAGACCUGCGCCACAGGGUCGUUUCCUCCCCUCCUUCCCUCGAAAGCGUAUGCAUUUCGUUGCCCCUGGAACUGGGGUCAUUUCAGGACCUCCCAAGGAGGGUCAGGAUGGUGGUAUUGGCCUUAGGGGACGCGGGCUCAGGUUGGCGGUUGAACCGCAUGUUCCUGUUUCAAACAAACCUAAAUGUAGGCCUGGAAGGCUGUGCACUGAAAUCCUAGUAUUAGGUUGGUGCAAAAUUAAUUGCGAUUUUUGCCAUUGUAGGUUGUCUGCAGAGUGAGAUUAUGGCGAAGCAUUUUAUUCUUUUUACAAACCUGCUUUUUCUCAGUUUUCCACAUUGGAUUUGCCAGCUACCUGCCUUUGCAGGACACCUCAGAAGUUACAGACUUGCCUGUGGAAAUGCAGAGAGCACCUGAGGUAUUUCCCGGACUCUCCAGUAGUAGCCUUGAAUGGCUGACCAACCGCAGUCACCUGCCAGAUCUUCUCAGAACCGGCCAGCCCACCAGCGACAGGCCCAUUAAGUGGCCUGGCCCAGCCCAGAUGGAAAACCCCCUCCACGUGACUUUCUAAAGAACAUGCAUGAAGACAAAACACCAGGUGCCUCAGGUGUGACACCCUGAGGACACAUCACCUGUACAGUAUCCUAACCCACCCAAGAUGACACAGUAAGGUAAAACCACAGUAGAGCCCAGGCCUGUUUGACUCUGAAGUCCAGGCUCCUUUCCAACUUAGUGCCCUAAAGGCCUGAUUGGGGUGGGGGUAGGCAGGAAGAUUCAAGCACUGAUUGUUUGUAGCCCAGGCUGGGAGGGCAACAGCUCUAGAAAAAAAGUCACUCACUGCUUUAACCAUCUUCCAGCUAACUGCAGUGAGGUGUACAGGGCCAUGGGGCUCUGGGAUGAACUCUUCCACCUCUACACCUUGUAAACAAGGAUUCCAGACACACCCUCCAAAUGGGAAUGGAGACACACGUUUGGCAGAGUUGGACAGUAACGCUGCUCUCCUAUCAGCCUGGACUUUGAGGGGAGUGGAAAACAUGAGUGUGGAGGUGCAGCAGUCCUGGUAUCCCCUGAAACCAGCCUGUGGGGGGAACAGUCUUCCCAGGGGAGCUGCUCAGGAUCGUCCUGGUCCCAUGCAUCAGGAAGAAAAGGGAACCUGAGAGCAGAGGGAAAAUGCAGAAAGUGGGGCAGGGAGACUGCUCCCUGAAACCCCCAUGGGCUGCUGGUCCAAGCAGAAAGUGUUGUCGGAGGGGGGAGAGGCAGGGUGAAAUGGGACAGGAAACGAGGACUUCCGAUGAGGAGGAGGAGGGGGCAGUGGGCUGCGGGUCUUGGGGACUGAACAGAAUGGGGUUUGCUAGACAGAGCUUUCGUCUACCCACUCCUGAAGUCCUGCUGGACCUCAGCUGGCCCUUGUGAACUGUUGAGGGGGAUAUAAACACAAAGGCCUGCAUUCCUGUGGGUGCACAAUCCUAAGAGACCAUGGACUGCCUGUGUGUGGUGGGAACAGGAAAAGGAGGCUGAGUGUAGCCCUGCUUGGAAUUUAGUGUCCACCACAGAUGUAUCCACUACCCAGGGCCAAAGACUCGGCAGCCUCAGAAGACUCAAUGGAAGCUGAGCACAGGACUAGAAAGGGUCAGGGCCCUCCUCUGUAUGUAGGGGUGGCACAUGGCCACUAGCUGGGUGAUGGGGCACUGAGAAAUUAAAUGUUUGACAUAAAAAUGUAAUCAGGACCCGAGAGGAGGUGGGUGGUGUAAUGAACAGCAUCCUAGAAGUCCGGUACAGAUUUCACGUGUCACCUUCUAGUUCCUUAUCUGAAAUUGAAAGGUGAGGUCAGGUGCAGUGGCUCAGGCCUGUAAUCCCAGCACUUAGGGAGGCUGAGGAGGGCAUAUCAUUGAGGUCAGGUGUUUGAGACCAGCCUGGCCAACAUGGUGAAACCUCUACUAAAAAUACGAAAAUUAGCCGGCUGUGCUGCACACGCCUGUCGUCCCAGCUACUUGGGAGGCUGAGGCAGGAGAAUCCCUUGAACCUGGGAGGCAGAGGCUGCAGUGAGCUGAGAUCACACCACUGCACUCAAGCCUGGGCAUCACAGCGAGACUUCUUAAAAAAAAAAAAAAA